CCAAUAUAUUCUUACACCCACAAAGAAAGCAACUCAACCAGUGUUUGUAAGAGAAAAAUCAGUUGCUCGAAGAAAAUCAGGCGUUGUUUACAUUGUGUUAAGAUCCCACAAUGAGAUCUCUGAAACUUGGCUGUAUGUUUACAAUCGUUGUGUAGUGCUGUGAGAAGAUCUGAUUAGCCUUAGUACCAGCAUACUCUAAUGCAGGGACAGCAAAAUAACUCAUUAUUUAACAAAAUAAAGAUAUAUCUUUGUAAAUUAUUUUUAUCAAUUAUUUUUGCAGUUUGCGUUACGAGUUCGUGCAAUAUAUAUUAUUAUUUUCCUUGUUUUUAUAAUUAGGAAAGCCCCUGAUCAUGGUUGUCCUUUUAUGUAAAAAAAAAAAAAAAGUAAAUAAAAU
Molecule: non-coding RNA, 394 nt
Organism: Pelobates cultripes (western spadefoot toad)
Lineage: Eukaryota; Metazoa; Chordata; Amphibia; Anura; Pelobatidae
Source: the annotation of a GenBank genome assembly